UACGUAGGGGGCAAGCGUUGUCCGGAAUCAUUGGGCGUAAAGCGCGUGUAGGCGGUUCGGUAAGUCUGCUGUGAAAGUCCAGGGCUCAACCCUGGGAUGCCGGUGGAUACUGUCGGGCUAGAGUACGGAAGAGGCGAGUGGAAUUCCCGGUGUAGCGGUGGAAUGCGUAGAGAUCGGGAAGAACAUCAGUGGCGAAGGCGGCCUGCUGGGCUGUUGCUGACGCUGAGGCGCGACAGCGUGGGGAGCAAACAGG
This 253-nucleotide ribosomal RNA is filed under the name uncultured bacterium. Its description in RNAcentral is "partial 16S ribosomal RNA". It matches the Rfam family "Bacterial small subunit ribosomal RNA", at positions 524 to 776 of the family's 1533-position model. The record is from RNAcentral.